This is a long non-coding RNA of Neopelma chrysocephalum (saffron-crested tyrant-manakin), 3671 nucleotides long. RefSeq lists it as uncharacterized. The record is from RefSeq and is a predicted model, not a curated record. The transcript has 3 exons. NCBI's taxonomy places the organism in Eukaryota, Metazoa, Chordata, Aves, Passeriformes, Pipridae.
AAAAGUUUUCACCAUCGGGACCUGGUCAUGAGCCUUUUGCUCUGGAAGGCACCGUGGCCAGCCAAGGUGGAGCCCUGUAGAUUUUACCUGUGUGUGGGUGUUGUCUCAUUUUGGGUGACCAGGACUGUGCUGGACGUCCCCAGGGCCGUGGCAGUGUCUGCAGUAGUUCUGCAGCCCAUAUCAGGCGGGUGGUUCUGCAGCGAAGUUCUGUUCCUGUGUGACGUAGUUUGGGUUUGUCGUGGAGCACAGGACCUGAUCUGGUUUGGGUUUAACUGAGACAAAAGACAAGAUCUACCAACCAGUGGGUGUAAAUUCAUCAGACCAAGCUAGAGAUUAAAAUAUCCAAAAUGCAGAUAAUGUGACUGUCCGGUCCUGAGCAGGGACUGCUUUGCUGUGGAACUUGGCUCUGGCUGUGCUGAUGGCUCUGAAGACAUGGCCCCAGGUAAAACAGGAGACUGCCUGGGUGGAUGGCCUGGCCAUUUCUGCACCUUGUCUUGAGCCUUAGGUUCAUGACAUGAUCCUUUGUGCAUCAGCUGGGAGAGCGCUUGGUUUGAGUGGGAAUGUGCUGGAUCUCCCCAGCAGGGAAUUCUGUCUGAACUCAGAUGAUUCCUUGGCUUUGCUGGUCAUCAGUUGGUUUGAUGUCCAUCCUGAUGUUAGCUUUGCAAAAAUAAACAUCUCAGCCCUUUCUGAGUCUUAGGCCACGUAGCAGACUGAAGUGCAAAGAGGACUGGCUGCAACACCAGCUGUGGGAGUUUGUGCUGAGCCUCCCGGGCUGUGGUGCUGAAGUGUUUUUUUCUUGAAACACUAUCUUGAAAUAUGCAAGAGGCAAAAAAAAAAAAAAGCUUCAUUCUUUCUGUCGGAGAUCUGAGAGGUGAGAGGUGUGGAUUUACUUCAGCAGCGAGAAAGGAUGGCUAGCAAGACCUUGGAGGGAGGUGGCUGUUGUGGGACCUGUCCUCUGCGUGCCACUGGGAUGGCAAGUGCAUGUCUUGGAGAGACUUAGACAGCUUUUCUGGGAAAAACCUCCUUAUGUUGAAAUGUCAUCCCAGGCAUGAUGUUGAUUUCUAUAGAGAGUUGCUUGUAAAGGUGGCUUGCAAGUUGCAUCUGAAGCCCCGUGACCAUGUUGACCCCAGUGGGUUUGGAUUUGAUACUGGACAUGGUGCAGAGACUGUGCGACAGCCCCAGUGAGUGAACAUCUUGGUGCAAGAGACCACAUGUCACUGAUGCACCUCAGAGUGCAGAGGUGGCACUGUCAUUCUUGCAGGAAGGUCUGGGAGCUGAGCCUGGGCUCUCAGACAUCAUCAUCAUCCCCCUGGACCGAUGCAGGGCCCAGCAGUGGCACAGGGCGCUGCGGGGGCUCUGCUGUGGGGUGACCCCCACGGGAAUGGUUUGAGCUCCUCUGUGGCACCACUGUGCUGAUGUGGCCGGUGCUGAGAGGAGGAUCUGUAUCAUACGUGCCUGGGUAGUUUCUGUUGCUGGGAGCUGAGGGUCAGUAAAUGAGCAGGGAUGGUUUUUCCAUUGCUGGUGAAUGUCUUGGAUGUGCAACUCAGGCCCAAACCGCUGGCUGCCCAUCGUGUCUGCAGUGCCCUCCAGCCAGGAUAUCAGAGGUUUGGCGGGUUUUGCUCUCAGUCUGGGUAGAAAGGCAGGACAGUGGUUGUGCAUCGGGCAGGACCUGUCUGUUAGGACACUGGGGAGCAGCAUUACCUUUUGAAGGGUGUCUCUCUCCCCUGGGCUGGGCUUGUUCUAGUGUCUCCCUGGGGAAUAUGUUUUAUUUCUCCAUGCUCCAUCCUGGUUGCACAGCAGUGCAGUGCAGGCUGAUGGCUUUAUUGCCCACAGUCUCCUGAGAUUUGGGACCUGCCUGCACUUGCCUUUUGCUUGGGCAUUCCAUAUGGGCAGAGGAGCUGAGACCAGCAGCUCCUGGGGGGUGAGUCUGCACUGGCACAUCGGCAUCAGCCCAUCCAGGCUCCUCAGAACUAAUGUGAGGGUCGAGAGGUGAGCACUGGGAUUUCAGGGACCAGCUCCUCUCUCUGUGUCAGUCCAGCAGAAACUGGUCCAGCUGUCUCACUUUUGGGCAAGCUGAUCUGUCAAUAUUUCAAGAAACGCCAGGGCUAAGAAUCAUGGAGAAAGGAUUUUGUGAAAUCUGGUAUUUAAACCUCCCACUCGAGUGAUGCUGAGGAGAGCUGGCAAUGUAGCAUUGGCUUAUCAGGAGCUGUGUGGGCAGGUCAGCUUAAGAAUAAUGUUGUGUGAGCAGCACCAGAGGUGAAGGAAAGAAGCCAGUGUCUGGUCAGGUACAGAGUUUAAAUGGGGUCAGAAUUUCUUUUUAUUAAAAAGAUUGUUUUAUUUAAAUAAUAAAUGACAGUAGGAUCACCGUUGCCAGGGGCUGCUGAAGGGCAACCAGGCAGGUCUGAGCAAAGCAGGGACUAGAGGCUUUGAAUUAUUUUCUCUCAUUAAUAACUCUGAACUAAGCACUGCAAAUUCAUGCAAAAGUCAUCUCUGCUUUCAUGCAUGCAAACAGUUUGGUUUGUGGAUAGGUCUGCUGUGUUCAGAGGCUCAUUCCAUCUUUAAAAAAAAAAAAAUUGGCUUCUGAGCUGCACCUGUCAAUAAAAGUCCUGGAAAAUGAGUCCUGGCAGGCUUUUCCAAGGCCGUAUGUAACUUAUCUUGUCCAAUGAAAGUCUCUAAUUGGUGGUUUAAAGUAAUUAAAAAAAAGAAUCCGUUAACGGUCAGUCUAUUUUUAGUUUAAAGGUUGGACUUUAUAUGGUCAUAAAGCAAAAUUCUUUGCUUAAUUAUGGGAAUUGAAAUACAUUGGCUUAAUUGCACUAGGAACUGCACACAAGAGUGCAGAGAGGACACGCUUUACCAGUGAUUAUCUGUUGAUAAAAUACUACACAGAGCAACAAGUGGAGGCACUCCAGGCUCCAGAAAGCAUCCUGAGGCCAGAACUGCUGAGCUGGUGGAGAAGAGAUGGCAUCAAAUCCUCUGCAGAUGGUCAGGGUCCAUUCCCACCACGGCACUGGCUGCCUUGCCUUGUAUUUGUGGAGACUUGGAACUGGACGGGAUUAAAGGGGCGAUUUAUAACCAAAGGGUUGGUUGAGGAGUUGGUUUGUGUUCUGGAGAUGCCUCCAGAAGCUGGGCAAGCAGCUGUGGGAGGUUUGAAUGGCAGAGGAUUUGGUGGUGGGACAUACAGGCUCCUGAUGAUGAGGAGAUCCAUCUGCUCAUUUGCCUCUUGAGUGGACAAGUAGGUCCCGGAAGGUGUCAGAGUGCUUGGGGCAAGCCUGGGGCUGUCAUUCCUGAAGCUGAGUUACCUGGGAAGCUAAAUUUGGGAGCCUGGGAACAAGAUAGGAUUUCAGACAUGGCGGGACCUCUUCCUGAAGUCUUAGGGCGUGCCUGGGAAAAGGAUGUGACAAGCAGGUGAAGCGAAGAGCCACAACUUCACAGCAUGUGCUGGUUUUCACUUCAGCCAAGGUGUCCCUUGACUGGUGGCAUGGGAAGUGGGCAGGGGUUUGGGAGGAUGGACUGAACACAGCGCUGGUGGAGGGCUGAGGCUGUCGGGGCUGUUCCAUCUGGGGUACCUGGAGGUUGAGGGCAGAGUUGUGUGCACAGGAGGGACGACCAGCUGCCAGGCUGUGGGCUGGACUAAGGGAUGGGCACAUCUGUGUGGAAACAUGAGACAAAAA